AUUGAACGCUGGCGGCAUGCUUUACACAUGCAAGUCGAACGGUAACAGGUUAAGCUGACGAGUGGCGAACGGGUGAGUAAUGCAUCGGAACGUGCCCGAUCGUGGGGGAUAACGCAGCGAAAGCUGCGCUAAUACCGCAUACGAUCUGAGGAUGAAAGCGGGGGACCUUAAGUCCUCGCGCGAUCGGAGCGGCCGAUGUCAGAUUAGGUAGUUGGUGGGGUAAAGGACAACCAAGCCGACGAUCUGUAGCUGGUCUGAGAGGACGACCAGCCACACUGGGACUGAGACACGGCCCAGACUCCUACGGGAGGCAGCAGUGGGGAAUUUUGGACAAUGGGCGAAAGCCUGAUCCAGCAAUGCCGCGUGCAGGAAGAAGGCCUUCGGGUUGUAAACUGCUUUUGUACGGAGCGAAAAGGUCCUUUCUAAUACAAGGGGCUCAUGACGGUACCGUAAGAAUAAGCACCGGCUAACUACGUGCCAGCAGCCGCGGUAA
Molecule: ribosomal RNA, 493 nt
Filed under: uncultured bacterium
Lineage: Bacteria
Description: partial 16S ribosomal RNA
Rfam family: Bacterial small subunit ribosomal RNA
Source: RNAcentral